UGGAGCCGGUGCUGGUGAACAUGGCGCCGGCCCGGCCCAGCCGCGGCGGGCGCCGCUGGCGGAACCGCCCCCUCCUUUCCCCCCUAGAGGCCGGGCAGACCCUGAGAAACCGCGGCGGGCCGGGCACGGCGCGGUUACAGAGGACUGUAAAAAAGAAGGCUGUGCACCAUAUGUACCCUACAGAGGAGACUUCUGUGGCAGCGCAGUUUGUUGACAGCAGCUUGCAUGAGAACGGGAGGAAGGGCAGAAGGCAGAGAUUAACUGGGCUGAAAUCAGAAUGAUUGGUCCUGUGCCUUUCCAAAAUCAGAGAAUUUCUCUCAAUCCCUCGGAAGUGAAUACAGCUUUGUACUGCAGCAGACCUGUUGUCCUCUAAACUGUGGAAUUGUGGAGAGAAGGAAAGCUGAGGUGGGUGAAGAGAUGGAUGCUGGCCGGAGCCGUCUUGCAGCCACAGGUGAUAAAAAGAAACUGAGGGGAAUCCAGGCAUCUCCGCUCUGAUCACAAGAACAUGCUGGGAAUGAGUCGAUGGAAAAAAGACCGCUCUCCAGUGCAAGGUUACAAGUGGGAAUCAAACCUCUGUCUAGCUGGGGAUUUGACCUGGUGAUUCAGGAGGCCAAAGCACUUGCUCACCUAUUCCACAGUUGCCUUCAUUAAUGCUGCCUUUGUGAGAAGCUUGGCCUCACACGAGAGAGACACUACAGUGCUGUACAACUCAGCUGUUUCACCUCUUCAUGCAGCAUGAACACCCCCUGACCCAUGAAUGUGGUGCUCAGAAGGGGAUAUUUCUCCAUCCCAGCUCAAUAGCUCAGAUGGCUAUAUGGGAAUUUCUUCCUGUCUGUAAACCCCAUGACUAGGUUAUGUGCUGACUCUGUUUAUUUCCUUUCAUAUUUUGACCAUUCUUUGUGUACUCAAAAAUUAUGCAGGGGUAAAGGUUUAAUUCUUCUUUCACAUUCAUGUGAGUUCAGUUGUUCAGAUUCUUCUUUUUUUUUUUUUUAAAAUGAAUAUAUGGAUAUAUACAUGCAUGUAUUUUGCUCAUCACGACUGACAGCCCUGGAGCAUGGAAUUAUUAAUCUGGAGUACAUGUAUGAACAGGCUGGUAGCAGUGUGUGUUUCAAUACGUGUCUUUGCCAUUCUGCAUCAGCAUUGGAGAGGCUGCAAGAUGAAAAAGUAGCCCAGGUAUAUUACAGCAUCCUGUAAUUUUAUUAUGAGACUUACUGUAUUUUGUGGUCUUCUUUUAACCCCAGAGACUGAAAUCCAGAAAUUUCCUGAGAAUGUCUGCUUUGAAUUUUCCAAAGGAAAAGCUUUGAGAACUUGACAUUGCAAAGAUUUGAAAAUGGUGAUGCAAGUUUACCACAGAGAUUCAAAAGGAAGAUUCAAAAAGAAAAAUAAUAAAAGGCACGUUAUUAUCUGGGUAGGCUGACUCAUGUGUUUUGGGAAAAGCAAUCUGCAGUGUUGUGCAGGGUCACUUCUGCCAUACUUCACCUAUGCGAUUAAUCUCUUGUACCAACAAAAAACAACUAGAAAGCAUUACUACUCUUAUUUUGUAAUAUGCUUUGCUCACUGGUCCAGAGCAGCUAUGCAAAGGAUAGAGCAAUAAUCCUGUUGUGUUUACUUGAAUUUCUAGGGCAAAUCUACUGGUGACCUUAAAACACAGCUAGCCAACACAGCUUUUCUUUGGGGGGAUCAGAAGGGGUCAGAGGCAGCAGGUCAGAAAAGGAUUAAUUUUAAGAAAUGGACUGUGCCUGUAUACAUUCAAAAUAGUUGAAAGUAUACAGAAGCCUCAUGCUCAUGUUAUGUUCACAUCUUUAGGUAUUCUGGGGAGUCUCAUCUAGCCAUUGUCUCGGUGUGCAUGGCUGACAUCCCUGUUGCUAUUUAUCCCAUCUUCAACAGUGACAGAGAGGGAAGAAUUCUUCAGAAACAAUUAAGCAGUUCGGGUUGGAUAAAAUGUCAAAAGGAUGAGGUCUUUUUAUCAAACUCACCUACCCAGAUCAUAAAAUACUGCAUGACUGGAAUGGAGAGCAUAAUUGUUCAAUUACAAGGAAAAUGAAACAAUACAGCAAAUCUAACAAAAUUGGCCAAUAGUUUCCUCGACAUGUAAGCAAGAUUGCUUUCAACACAGCCAUUCUCUCUCCACCUGUCAAAAUGAAUUUCAGAGUAGAAAGCCUCAUAAGUUUCAUGGUUAUAAGAAAAUUUGAUGCAGAUCCUUACAGGGAUUAAGUCAAUCUAGCUCCAUCCGUUCAUUCCCUUCAAACAGAAUCAGGUUAUUGCAGUUGAGGAUCUGCCUCCUUUCUCCUCUGUGACUGAGCAUAGAUACAGCUUCCUCUUACCACUUUCUUUAGAAGCGUCUCACUUACAAAAUGUAUGAGUUUCUUUUAACUCUGUUGAAGUUCAUUUUGUUUAAGCGUGCGGUUCUCUUGCCUGAACAUGGUCUAUACAGCUAUAAUUUUUUUGGUGACUAAUUUGCCCUCAUAGUUGUGGGCGGUUAAACAGCUUUGCCAUAUUUGGUUGGCAGAGAAGUGCCUUUAAAUAUAUUGUAAUUGGGCUCGUGUCUUUUUUUUUUUUCCUUUUUCUUUUUUUUUUGUCUAGCCUUGUUAAAAGUUUAGUUAACGCCUUUCUUGGAGCUCACUUCAUGAACAUGCAAAUGAAAAACUUCUCUGAGUUGUUUUGUAAAGUGCAGUUAAUUAAUACAGUGGAGUAAAACUGAGUUAAGUAGGAGAAUCACAGCUCGUAAAUAAAGAUAAGAAAAUUAUAAGAGGUGUGACUGAUAUGUCUGUAAUUACCUGCUUGGGAG
Columba livia (rock pigeon) is the source of this 2788-nucleotide long non-coding RNA. RefSeq lists it as uncharacterized. The transcript is spliced from 3 exons. The record is from RefSeq and is a predicted model, not a curated record. Lineage: Eukaryota; Metazoa; Chordata; Aves; Columbiformes; Columbidae.